UCCGCUUGUUAAAAUGUAGACUUUCCUUAUUUCUUCUCGCAUAGUUGCUAAUUAGUAUCGCCAGUAUCGAUCUAGUUAACGAAAUUGCUCCUCGUGUACAAAAUGUCACAUAUUCGCACACUUGUAUUAGGAUCUUUAACAAUUCAUUACAUUUUUAAUUACAAUGAACUUUUCUAUAAUUUCAAGUGAACGAAAAAAAGAUCUGAUUUUGUAUAAUAAUAGUAAAUAUUAUAAAAAAGACUAUGUGAUAUCUUUAGAUGCUUUAAAAUGGCAGUGUAUACAUGAAAAGUGCACCGCGAAAUUUUAUGUAGAUCAAGCAUUAAAUAACAUUUUGAAAGAUGAAAUUAUACAUAAUAUCAACCAUCACGAAGAAACUGCAUCAUGUAUCUCAAAAAAAUCAUUUUCUAAUGGACUUAAACGAAAAUCGGAAGACGAAUUGGAAAAGCCUUCAAAAAUCAUCAAUAGAGGUUUUUAACUAAUCCAGAACUAACACAAACGUUUACAGCUUUUUACUAUCCACAUAAUCAAGAACGGACAUUAUAUUCCACUCGUAUACUUAUUACUACCAAACAAAUUUAAAGACACAUAUGCACAAUCGUUUGGAUAUGUGGUUGAUAAAUGUUCGGAAAUUGUUUUAUUAUUCUCUCCAUCAAAAUUAGUUUCCGAUUUUGAAGAAGCUAUACAUAUUGGUGCAAAAAUAUUAUGGCCAGAAAUACGGAUCGUCGGUCGCAGAUUUCAUUUAACACAAAAUUGGCGGAAACACAUUCAAAGUAUUGGCUUAUCAAAAGAAUAUAAAGAUGCAUCAAGUGAAAUAGGUAAUUGUUUAAAAUGGGUAUUCGGAUUACAAUUAUUGAAUCCAGAAGAAGUAAGCGAUUGCUUUUUUGAUGUCAGUUUCUCCAGAUGAUGAAAGGUUAGUUAAGUUCUGUGAUUAUUUAGUUGAAUAUUAUAUUGAUGAAGAUGCAAAAUUCAAUCUACGUAUUUGGGCAUCAAGAGAAAUAACAUCGGAACGUACUACCAAUAGCUGCGAGUCUUUCCACUCAAAAUUAAAUUCACAAUUCACAAAAGGUCAUCUCAACAUUUUCAUAUUCACUCAUGUUUUAAAUCAAAAAAUACAAACUGACAGUUACAUACACAUAAACGGAAUAAACAUACAAAAAACUAACAAAAA
Long non-coding RNA from Sipha flava (yellow sugarcane aphid), 1168 nucleotides. RefSeq lists it as uncharacterized. Lineage: Eukaryota; Metazoa; Arthropoda; Insecta; Hemiptera; Aphididae. The record is from RefSeq and is a predicted model, not a curated record. The transcript is spliced from 3 exons.